Molecule: RNA transcript, 930 nt
Organism: Capsicum annuum
Lineage: Eukaryota; Viridiplantae; Streptophyta; Magnoliopsida; Solanales; Solanaceae
Exons: 4
Source: RefSeq, a predicted model, not a curated record
GUCCCUCACUCUCUUUCUAUUGUUUCUCUCUCAAGAAUUUUUUUUUUUAUUUGAAGGCCUUUUUUCCUGAUUUAAACGCGUUUUUGCACGAAUUGAAGGCAUUUUUGCAUGUAUUGAAGGUUAAGCUUACACUGGUUUGCAAAAUUGAAGCAUUGAAUGUAUUUAGUUCUACUGCAGAAACAUUACUGGCAUACUUGAGGGAACCAAGACAAGAAGCUUCUACUUCAACUCCUUAGAGAGGGCUAUUAUAAUAGAUCGAGAUUCAACUACAAGUGAGUUACAUUUACACGUUCAUACACAUAAUCAUGAUGGUAAAUCUUUUGUUGCUGAGCAUUCCCAACUUCUCAACGAAAAGUAUGAAGAAAUUGUACGAAAAAAAAGACAGACUGAAUCUGAAAUUGAUCAAUUGGAAUCAUAUUAUGAAGUUGCGGGAGGAGUAAAGAAGAAAAGAUUAUUUAUCUCGGAUAUGAAGCUGAAAGUUACUUUGGGAAAAAUCUUUUUGCAUGUAAUGCCUCCACAUCAUUAGUACCACCUUCAGUUUCUUUACCGACAAUAAAUUUGGAGUCUGUGAAGCAAUUGAUUCCGACACUUACUACUCACUUUCUUCUGAUAGUUACUAAGCAUGUUGGAGGUAUUACGGUACAAGAAGGGGCCGUACUUGAUCCUCCUCCUACUAAUGAUGGUGACGUUAAUUCGUAGCUUCAUAGUAUUUGUAGCCCUUCAUCAUUGCAUUAAUUUUUGCUAGACUAUUUUGUGUGGAAAUACAAAAUAGUUAUGUAGUAACAAAUACUAAUUUUGAUGGAUGUGGGUUUGACAUUAGUUUAUUUUUGACAAAAUACUUGAACUUUUGGAUGUUUGCACACAAUUAUGUGAUGCAUUUUGCUAUUCAUAUAUUUUGAACAUUCUAAUAUAAGUAAUUAUUUAUAUGAA